This 460-nucleotide ribosomal RNA is filed under the name uncultured bacterium. RNAcentral describes it as "partial 16S ribosomal RNA". It matches the Rfam family "Bacterial small subunit ribosomal RNA", at positions 338 to 795 of the family's 1533-position model. The record is from RNAcentral.
CCUACGGGGGGCAGCAGUGAGGAAUAUUGGUCAAUGGCCGGAAGGCUGAACCAGCCAUGCCGCGUGAAGGUCAGUGCCCUAUGGGCGUUAAACUUCUUUUGUGCGGGAGCAAUAAUGGUCACGUGUGGCCAGACGAGAGUACCGUACGAAUAAGCAUCGGCUAACUCCGUGCCAGCAGCCGCGGUAAUACGGGGGAUGCAAGCGUUAUCCGGAGUUAUUGGGUUUAAAGGGUGCGUAGGCUGUGAGGUAAGUCAGCGGUGAAAUGCCCCCGCUCAACGGGGUGAAGUGCCAUUGAUACUGCCUGGCUGGAAUGCGGAUGCCGUGGGAGGAAUGUGUGGUGUAGCGGUGAAAUGCAUAGAUAUCACACAGAACACCGAUUGCGAAGGCAUCUCACGAAUCCGCGAUUGACGCUGAUGCACGAAAGCGUGGGUAUCAAACAGGAUUAGAUACCCUGGUAGUC